CUGUCUGUCUGUCUCUGUCUGUCUCUCUGUCUCUGUCUGUCUGUCUCUCUCUCUCUCUGUCUCUCCCUCUCUCUGUCUCUCUCUCAGCUCACGACACCCUGGCAGCAUCCUCUCCUGGCCCCCAUUUCCCUCUCAGCCACCUUUACAUAACACUUUACAGUUUAGAAAAUGCUUCCACAACCACUUUACAGUUUAGAAAAUGCUGUCACACUCAUUUGCUUAUUUUAAUCACUUCCUGCUUGCCCAAAGCAAAUCAGACCCUCAGAUGACUUUCCGUGGAGUCCGGUCAUAAAAACACUCUGCUAACCUCUUCCUGGCCAAGAACCAGGCUGUCCGGAUGAGGAGGCCAUGGAGCGCUCCACCGGCACCAGCUGGAACCUGCUCGGUGCCUGCCGAUCCAUCAAGCUGUGGCUUCCAUGCUCCCUGAACUCAGGAACCAGAUGAGGGAGGGAGUGGAUCCAACAGUCAUUUAGAAGCCUGGCUUCUGCAGCCAAGCCCCUCCCCCCGCCCCCUGCUGCUCUGCGGGGACCUGAGGGCUUGUGGAAAGGCUGUGAGGAGAAUAGAUCCAGGGUGUAUCCCAAGUCAUUGCUCUCUUUCAGCCUAGCUGUGCGAUUUAAGUUUCAAACAGACAUGUUUACAAAGGAAGGCAAUCUUCCUGCAGGACUUGGCAGAGACGGGAUGGGGGAGGGGCUGUGUAAUCUUCUGGCCAUUCCCUUGGGAAACCAGGUUGCCAUGGUUAGCUCAAGGACACAAGAGGUGAUGAUUUAGGGCCUGGAACUUGGGUCCUGGUGCUGACUGCGGUGUCAAGUGCGUUUGCUCUUAAAGAGGCGUUCUGCCGUCUCUGGUCCUCAGAUGUGUCAUCUGUCAAAGGGGCUUCCAGGGACAGUACCAGAAAUGGAGUGUAUCAGAGUGUCCAGGAAGCCUUUCAGUAUCCCGGUGAAGGAGAAGCCACCAGAAGGAAGAAGACUCGAGCCUCCAGCUCGGGGAUAGAAAGCCUGGGGCCAGUUCUGUGGUGUUUGUGUGAAAUGAAUUGCCAUCGGCUCCCCAAACCAGCUGCUUCCAGUCAGUGCCUGUGGAUCAUGAUCAAAUGGAGAUAACCAUCUGGUCCAGGAUUAAAAAGAUAAAAAAACAAAUUAAGCAAUAAACGAAUCAGACAAAAUCA
Molecule: long non-coding RNA, 1162 nt
Filed under: Mus spicilegus (steppe mouse)
Lineage: Eukaryota; Metazoa; Chordata; Mammalia; Rodentia; Muridae
Description: lncRNA (ENSMSIG00000009765.1)
Source: RNAcentral